CCUACGGGAGGCAGCAGUGGGGAAUAUUGGACAAUGGGGGCAACCCUGAUCCAGCCAUGCCGCGUGUGUGAAGAAGGCCCUCGGGUUGUAAAGCACUUUCAGUGAGGAAGAACGCCUGGUGGUUAAUACCCAUCAGGAAAGACAUCACUCACAGAAGAAGCACCGGCUAACUCCGUGCCAGCAGCCGCGGUAAUACGGAGGGUGCGAGCGUUAAUCGGAAUUACUGGGCGUAAAGCGCGCGUAGGGGGCUUGAUAAGCCGGUUGUGAAAGCCCCGGGCUCAACCUGGGAACGGCAUCCGGAACUGUCAAGCUAGAGUGCAGGAGAGGAAGGUAGAAUUCCCGGUGUAGCGGUGAAAUGCGUAGAGAUCGGGAGGAAUACCAGUGGCGAAGGCGGCCUUCUGGACUGACACUGACACUGAGGUGCGAAAGCGUGGGUAGCAAACAGGAUUAGAUACCCGAGUAGUC
Molecule: ribosomal RNA, 465 nt
Filed under: Vreelandella stevensii
Lineage: Bacteria; Pseudomonadati; Pseudomonadota; Gammaproteobacteria; Oceanospirillales; Halomonadaceae
Description: partial 16S ribosomal RNA
Rfam family: Bacterial small subunit ribosomal RNA
Source: RNAcentral